CCUACGGGUGGCUGCAGUGGGGAAUAUUGCACAAUGGGGGAAACCCUGAUGCAGCGACGCCGCGUGAGCGAAGAAGGAUUUCGGUAUGGAAAGCUUUUUCAGGAGGGAAGAAAAUGACGGUACCUGAUUAAGAAGCACCGGCUAACUACGUGCCAGCAGCCGCGGUAAUACGUAGGGGGCAAGCGUUAUCCGGAUUUAUUGGGCGUAAAGAGAGCGUAGACGGCAUCACAAGUCUGGAGUGAAAUGCUGAGGCUCAACCCGGGAAUUGCAUUGGAAACUGUGAAGCUGGAGUGCAGGAGAGGUAAGUGGAAUUCCUAGUGUAGCGGUGAAAUGCGUAGAUAUUAGGAGGAACACCGGUGGCGAAGGCGGCUUACUGGACUGUAACUGACGUUGAGGCUCGAAAGCGUGGGUAGCAAACAGGAUUAGAUACCCGUGUAGUC
This 440-nucleotide ribosomal RNA is filed under the name uncultured bacterium. Its description in RNAcentral is "partial 16S ribosomal RNA". It matches the Rfam family "Bacterial small subunit ribosomal RNA", at positions 338 to 795 of the family's 1533-position model. The record is from RNAcentral.